RNAcentral lists this transfer RNA (71 nucleotides) under Lophiomus setigerus (blackmouth angler). RNAcentral describes it as "tRNA-Gln". It matches the Rfam family "tRNA". From Rfam's summary of the family: Transfer RNA (tRNA) molecules are approximately 80 nucleotides in length. Their secondary structure includes four short double-helical elements and three loops (D, anti-codon, and T loops). Further hydrogen bonds mediate the characteristic L-shaped molecular structure. tRNAs have two regions of fundamental functional importance: the anti-codon, which is responsible for specific mRNA codon recognition, and the 3' end, to which the tRNAs corresponding amino acid is attached (by aminoacyl-tRNA synthetases). tRNAs cope with the degeneracy of the genetic code in two manners: having more than one tRNA (with a specific anti-codon) for a particular amino acid; and 'wobble' base-pairing, i.e. permitting non-standard base-pairing at the 3rd anti-codon position. The record is from RNAcentral. Lineage: Eukaryota; Metazoa; Chordata; Actinopteri; Lophiiformes; Lophiidae.
UAGGAAAUGGUGUAGUGGGAGCACCGAGAGUUUUGGUCUCUCUAGGGGGGGUUCAAGUCCCCUUUUUCUAA